AACGAACGCUGGCGGCGUGCUUAACACAUGCAAGUCGAACGGGACGUUCGUGCUUUUGUGGGCACCUGUGCGUACCGCCUGGUAAGUUACCCGUAGGUUCGCAACAAUUGCCUGUAAGGGGAGCUAAUACAGCUUAGGGUCUUACGAGAAAAGAUCUAUCGCCUUUGGAUGGGCGCUGGUUGGUUUAGCUAGUUGGUAGGGUAAAAGCCUACCAAGGGGACGAUCCAUAGCUGGUGUGAGAGGAUGGUCAGCCACACUGGGACUGAGACACGGCCCAGACUCCUACGGGAGGCAGCAGUGGGGAAUAUUGGACAAUGGGCGAAAGCCUGAUACAGCAAUGCCGCGUGAGUGAUGAAGGCCUUAGGGUUGUAAAGCUCUUUUACCCGGGAUGAUAAUGACAGUACCGGGAGAAUAAGCUCCGGCUAACUCCGUG
This 433-nucleotide ribosomal RNA is filed under the name uncultured bacterium. RNAcentral describes it as "partial 16S ribosomal RNA". It matches the Rfam family "Bacterial small subunit ribosomal RNA", at positions 29 to 507 of the family's 1533-position model. The record is from RNAcentral.